Molecule: ribosomal RNA, 253 nt
Filed under: uncultured bacterium
Lineage: Bacteria
Description: partial 16S ribosomal RNA
Rfam family: Bacterial small subunit ribosomal RNA
Source: RNAcentral
UACGAAGGACCCGAGCGUUAUCCGGAUUCAUUGGGUUUAAAGGGUGCGUAGGCGGAAUUGUAAGUCAGUGGUGAAAUCCCUUCGCUUAACGAAGGAACUGCCAUUGAUACUGCAAAUCUUGAGUACAUUUGAUGAGGGCGGAAUGUGUCAUGUAGCGGUGAAAUGCUUAGAUAUGACACAGAACACCGAUUGCGAAGGCAGCUCUCAAAACUGUAACUGACGCUGAGGCACGAAAGCGUGGGUAUCAAACAGG